AUGCUUCAUAUAAAAAUCCGUAAUAUUGAGUUGCCAUAUUUUUCAUGCUUCCUACAUCCUUGCUGUUUUGAGCCAACAUUAGGGGUCAAGCCCUAUUGCUUCUGCAUGACAUGCUUCCAUACUUCUAUUCCAUUCCUAUUCUUUUCUCAGUUCACAUUAACAACAACCCAUGUUCUCAUGGAUGUAAAGUUGAUCUGGUUUGACUGUUUGUGGUUUAACAUUGUUGCUGAAAGCUCACGUUUACUCAAACUUAGAUUGAUGGAGUUGGCUUACAAACCAUUAAUAUGUUUACCCUACUCAUGGCAAGUAGCUAAUAAUUUUGCAUAUUCAAAUUUAUGUAUUAACAGUAUACGUAUCAAUUAUGCCGCAUAUCCAUUGUGA
Molecule: ribosomal RNA, 381 nt
Filed under: Triticum aestivum (bread wheat)
Lineage: Eukaryota; Viridiplantae; Streptophyta; Magnoliopsida; Poales; Poaceae
Description: partial small subunit ribosomal RNA
Source: RNAcentral